This 274-nucleotide ribosomal RNA is filed under the name uncultured bacterium. RNAcentral describes it as "partial 16S ribosomal RNA". It matches the Rfam family "Bacterial small subunit ribosomal RNA", at positions 523 to 796 of the family's 1533-position model. The record is from RNAcentral.
AUACGGAGGGUGCAAGCGUUACUCGGAAUCACUGGGCGUAAAGCGCGCGCAGGCUGGCUGAUAAGUUGGAUGUGAAAGCCUACGGCUCAACCGUAGAACUGCAUCCAAAAUUGUCAGCCUAGAGUCUGGGAGGGGAAGAUGGAAUUAGUUGUGUAGGGGUAAAAUCCGUAGAGAUAACUAGGAAUACCAAAAGCGAAGGCGAUCUUCUGGAACAGUACUGACGCUGAGGCGCGAAAGCGUGGGGAGCAAACAGGAUUAGAUACCCUAGUAGUCC